UGACUUCCUGGAAAGACUGGAUUUGCAUCAGUAUCAGUGUUUAUGAUUGGUACCGUCGAGCUUUUUUCAAUGCAAACACUACUGGGUUAGGCAAAGCAGAACAGGACACAACUGUACGAGCAGACGACACCACAGACGAUGGAUGUGAAAACAAUAUCAUCUGUAGGUCUUUUGCUUUGUCAUCUUCUUAUAGCCGGUGUUUGCCUUGAUUGUGCUUCUGAUGAUCUGUGUGCAUUGUGCCUAAAACCAGAUCCAUCGUGUCCACAAGUUUGUGUAUCGUGCUUAAAUUUAGCUGUUUCCAUUACAGCUUUUCUAGCAUCUGUUCCAUCAAGCUGCAGAAAAGAAUUCUCUGUGAAUAUCACCAGCUCCAAUUCAAACCCGAAGGAGGGUGACAGCGUCAAUUUAACGUGUGUCAAUAACCUUCCUGAUAAAGAUCUGUCGUUCAGAUGGAGCAAGGAUGGAGUAAAGAAAGGUGGAAACAACAGCAACCUUGUUCUCAAUAAUGUGCUUUCAUCUGCUACUGGCUCGUACAACUGCUCUGUGGACAGCGUGUGUGGCAGUUAUUCUGCCCAGUACUCUCUCACUGUGCCCAACAACAGCGUGAUCAUCCUGGUGGUCUGUGGAGUUGCAGCUUUGGUUCUGGUUCUGAUUAUGGGUCUGGCCAUGAAGUUCAAACUGAAAAGAGACAACGCUAAACACAGAGAGAGGAGGAAGCAGAGGGAACAGAUUGGGCAAAGCGGCGGCCAAGCGCCAUUCACAAUACGACAGACCUAAAUAAGAAGCAAUCACAUCUACAGUUACUUCGUAAUAACAGAGUUGCAUAAUCAGCUGUCAUAGUAUUUGCAAUAGGAAUAAAAUGUCAUUAAUCGCUGCA
Long non-coding RNA from Betta splendens (Siamese fighting fish), 874 nucleotides. NCBI's taxonomy places the organism in Eukaryota, Metazoa, Chordata, Actinopteri, Anabantiformes, Osphronemidae. The record is from Ensembl.